RNAcentral lists this ribosomal RNA (468 nucleotides) under uncultured bacterium. RNAcentral describes it as "partial 16S ribosomal RNA". It matches the Rfam family "Bacterial small subunit ribosomal RNA", at positions 28 to 507 of the family's 1533-position model. The record is from RNAcentral.
GACGAACGCUGGCGGCGUGCUUAACACAUGCAAGUCGAACGGAAAGGCCCUGCUUUUGUGGGGUGCUCGAGUGGCGAACGGGUGAGUAACACGUGAGUAACCUGCCCUUGACUUUGGGAUAACUUCAGGAAACUGGGGCUAAUACCGGAUAGGAGCUCCUGCUGCAUGGUGGGGGUUGGAAAGUUUCGGCGGUUGGGGAUGGACUCGCGGCUUAUCAGCUUGUUGGUGGGGUAGUGGCUUACCAAGGCUUUGACGGGUAGCCGGCCUGAGAGGGUGACCGGCCACAUUGGGACUGAGAGACGGCCCAGACGCCUACGGGAGGCAGCAGUGGGGAAUAUUGCGCAAUGGGCGGAAGCCUGAUGCAGCAACGCCGCGUGCGGGAUGACGGCCUUCGGGUUGUAAACCGCUGUCGCCUGUGACGAAGCGGGAGUGACGGUAAUGGGUAAAGAAGCACCGGCUAACUACGUG